Molecule: long non-coding RNA, 866 nt
Filed under: Theobroma cacao (cacao)
Lineage: Eukaryota; Viridiplantae; Streptophyta; Magnoliopsida; Malvales; Malvaceae
Description: long non-coding RNA (TCAC_LNC002691)
Source: RNAcentral
CUUGUUCUCAUCAACAAUGACAAAGGGAGGCAAGUACUGGUCAUUAGCAUUUUCCCUCAAUUUCUUCACAGCUUCAACAGCAUUUGUAAACUUGUGAGGGGCUUCACCAAGAACCUGAGCAUCCCAUCCUCGUUUGACAACAUUCCAGUCAUUCUACAAAAGAUUCAUUCACAAAAAAUGAGCUGCUUGAUGCAUUCAAAUAAAGACAAAACAUUUUAUUCAUGAUCCAACCAUUUGGCCAAGCUAGAAUCUUUUCCUUAGGAGUGAUUCAUCAGGUACUUCUGUGCCUUGUCUGAACAGUAAUCCACUCUGAUACACAGAUAAGUGGUUCUACUAUGUCUCAAGCCAAGGGGCCAACAAAAUUUGCACACCAGGAUGCUUUUUUGCCAAAAUCAUUCAUGAGAUGGCUUCCUUAUCACAGCUGUUAUAGGAAUCAUUCAAUGGUUCUUACUUUUACAUAAAAUCAAUAGCAACAACAGAGGAAGAAAAUCAAUCAAAAAAAAAAUAGAGGAAUAAAAAAAGCUAACAAAAGAAAAACAAAGACUGAUUAAACAAUAAUCAAAAUUCCUCUUUCUUUCAGAUCUUUGAAAAAAAAAGAAAAAAGAAAAUAACAGAACCACUGCAAAUGGUUAAUGCAAAACAAUAGAGUCACAUUAACUGGUCUACAUGCUUUUAGGACUCUGACAAUUAUUUCUCACCUCAUAACGAUCCAUUGUGACAUACAUGCGGCCUCCACCAGAUGCAAUCUGGGCAUCAACUCCUUUCUCACGUAAUUUUGCAAGGUCAUUCUCAAGAGUCUCCACAAAGCCUAUACUUGAACCAUCCAAAACAUCACGACCAUCAGUGAGAACAUGAACACGAAUUCU